RNAcentral lists this unclassified non-coding RNA (253 nucleotides) under uncultured Alphaproteobacteria bacterium. RNAcentral describes it as "contains 16S-23S intergenic spacer region". It matches the Rfam family "Bacterial small subunit ribosomal RNA", at positions 524 to 776 of the family's 1533-position model. The record is from RNAcentral. Lineage: Bacteria; Pseudomonadati; Pseudomonadota; Alphaproteobacteria.
GACGGAGGGGGCUAGCGUUGUUCGGAAUGACUGGGCGUAAAGGGCGCGUAGGCGGUAUUUUAAGUGAGGCGUGAAAGCCCUGGGCUUAACCCAGGAGGUGCGUUUCAUACUGGAAUGCUAGAGUGCGAGAGAGGAAAGUGGAAUUCCUAGUGUAGAGGUGAAAUUCGUAGAUAUUAGGAAGAACACCAGAGGCGAAGGCGGCUUUCUGGCUCGCAACUGACGCUGAGGCGCGAAAGCGUGGGGAGCAAACAGG